Molecule: ribosomal RNA, 327 nt
Filed under: uncultured eukaryote
Lineage: Eukaryota
Description: partial 18S ribosomal RNA
Rfam family: Eukaryotic small subunit ribosomal RNA
Source: RNAcentral
CCCUUAGAUGUUCUGGGCCGCACGCGCGCUACACUGACGAAUGCAACGAGCUUAUAACCUUGGCCGAAAGGUCUGGGUAAUCUCCAAAUUUCGUCGUGAUGGGGAUAGAUUAUUGCAAUUAUUAAUCUUCAACGAGGAAUGCCUAGUAAGCGCAAGUCAUCAGCUUGCGUUGAUUACGUCCCUGUCCUUUGUACACACCGCCCGUCGCUCCUACCGAUUGAAUGGUCCGGUGAAGCGUUCGGACCGUGGCCUUUGGACGGUUCGCCGUCUGUUGGCUGCGGGAAGUUCGUUAAACCUUAUCAUUUAGAGGAAGGAGAAGUCGUANCA